Molecule: long non-coding RNA, 424 nt
Organism: Camellia sinensis
Lineage: Eukaryota; Viridiplantae; Streptophyta; Magnoliopsida; Ericales; Theaceae
Source: RefSeq, a predicted model, not a curated record
GGAAGAGAGGGGGCUUUGGUGGCCUCAGGAAUAUACACGUAGAGAGAGAGAGUGAACACUUACGCAAGAGAAGGAGAGAGCUCAAGGAAGAAGCAAGGAAAGCUUAAGGAAUUCCUGAAAGCCCAUUUGAUUCUAGGUCACGAGUCAAGGACUGCUUAACCAACUGUUCUGGAAACCCACUGUGAGCGUUAUGGAGGGCAAGCCUAGAAGGGGUCUUUAACUGAGCCACCGUUUUGAAGCCUAUUGUUGUUUUGUGUGCCUCUGAGUUGGGGCUAGGCCUGGAAGGCCAUUGUCAGGCUUUUGAUCGUGAAGUACACUUUUGUUAUGUGCAUAUGUUAUGUAUAAGAUGUUAAGUUAUAAGUUAUGAACUGAAUAUGGGUAAAUUAACGUUUUUGCAUGUAAGAUGCACAACUCAUUGGACUAU